RNAcentral lists this long non-coding RNA (351 nucleotides) under Homo sapiens (human). Its description in RNAcentral is "HSALNT0095078". The record is from RNAcentral. Lineage: Eukaryota; Metazoa; Chordata; Mammalia; Primates; Hominidae.
GGAAGCAAAACACUGAGUGCUGCUCUGGAGUCAGAGAGACCUAGGUGAAAGUCCGAGAUUCUAGUGUUUUCAGCUGUGUGACUGAGCAUUUAUCACCACUUGGCACCACACUGUGGUUAGAAGUCUGGCUUUGAAGUCACGCUGCCUGGGUUCAUGUCUUGGCUCUGACACAGUCUAGCUGGGCGACACUAGGGAUGAGUGAGAUCCCUUAUGGUUCCCUUUGACCUGCCUGAUUAGCGAUUCCACAGGAAAACACCUCCCAUGACAAAAUGAAAGUAGACUUCAAGCCACCUUCCUUCAGGCUGACUCCUGUGUAAAUGAGCUGCCUGCAGCCUGACUCACGGCAGCUCA